Molecule: ribosomal RNA, 504 nt
Filed under: Triticum aestivum (bread wheat)
Lineage: Eukaryota; Viridiplantae; Streptophyta; Magnoliopsida; Poales; Poaceae
Description: partial small subunit ribosomal RNA
Source: RNAcentral
AUGCUCCACGACAUGGAGGUUCACAACCGGGACGUCAAUCUCUUCAGCGCGAUUUUGCGGAACGCUUUCAGAAUCUCCACAAGGACUAUUUUGCAGAGAACCCCACCUUCAAGGCAAGGAUGUUUCGCAAUAGAUGGCAUAUAUCCGCAGUGGGCAACUUUUGUGAAGACAAUUCCAAAUCCCAAAGAUGAGAAGAACAAAAAUUUCUCUCGGUUUCAAGAAGCAUGUCGGAAGGAUGUCGAACGAGCCUUUGGUGUUCUGCAAGCUCGUUUUGCUAUUGUACGUGGACCGCCAGGGUAUUGGGAUCUGGAGACACUCGGAGAAGUGAUGACAGCUUGUAUCAUCCUGCAUAACAUGAUAAUAGAAGAUGAGCGUGGAAGUCGUGUAGACUACCGCUACGAUAACAUGGGAGAACUAGUGACACCUUCUCACCGAGAGGCGGCUACAUUGACUCAGUUUCUUCAAGCUCAGAGUGAUAUUCGAGACAAACAAGUUCACUGUUAG